GACGAACGCUGGCGGCGUGCUUAACACAUGCAAGUCGAACGAAGAGCGAUGGAAGCUUGCUUCUAUCAAUCUUAGUGGCGAACGGGUGAGUAACGCGUAAUCAACCUGCCCUUCAGAGGGGGACAACAGUUGGAAACGACUGCUAAUACCGCAUACGAUCUGACCUCGGCAUCGAGGAUAGAUGAAAGGUGGCCUCUAUUUAUAAGCUAUCACUGAAGGAGGGGAUUGCGUCUGGUUAGCUAGUUGGAGGGGUAACGGCCCACCAAGGCGAUGAUCAGUAGCCGGUCUGAGAGGAUGAACGGCCACAUUGGGACUGAGACACGGCCCAGACUCCUACGGGAGGCAGCAGUGGGGAAUCUUCCGCAAUGGACGAAAGUCUGACGGAGCAACGCCGCGUGAGUGAUGACGGCCUUCGGGUUGUAAAGCUCUGUUAAUCGGGACGAAAGGCCUUCUUGCGAAUAGUUAGAAGG
RNAcentral lists this ribosomal RNA (470 nucleotides) under Veillonella dispar. RNAcentral describes it as "bacterial SSU rRNA". It matches the Rfam family "Bacterial small subunit ribosomal RNA", at positions 28 to 475 of the family's 1533-position model. Lineage: Bacteria; Bacillati; Bacillota; Negativicutes; Veillonellales; Veillonellaceae. The record is from RNAcentral.